This 303-nucleotide ribosomal RNA is filed under the name uncultured bacterium. Its description in RNAcentral is "partial 16S ribosomal RNA". It matches the Rfam family "Bacterial small subunit ribosomal RNA", at positions 507 to 807 of the family's 1533-position model. The record is from RNAcentral.
AGCAGUCGCCGCGGUAAUACGAGGGGAGCUAGCGUUGUUCGGAAUUACUAGGCGUAAAGCGCGCGUAGGCGGCUUUUUAAGUCAGAGGUGAAAGCCCGGGGCUCAACCCCGGAAUUGCCUUUGAAACUGGAAAGCUAGAAUCUUGGAGAGGUCAGUGGAAUUCCGAGUGUAGAGGUGAAAUUCGUAGAUAUUCGGAAGAACACCAGUGGCGAAGGCGACUGACUGGACAAGUAUUGACGCUGAGGUGCGAAAGCGUGGGGAGCAAACAGGAUUAGAUACCCGCGUAGUCCCUGUCUCUUAUAC